RNAcentral lists this ribosomal RNA (542 nucleotides) under uncultured bacterium. RNAcentral's name for it is "bacterial SSU rRNA". It matches the Rfam family "Bacterial small subunit ribosomal RNA", at positions 356 to 896 of the family's 1533-position model. The record is from RNAcentral.
GAGGAAUAUUGGUCAAUGGGCGAGAGCCUGAACCAGCCAAGUAGCGUGCAGGAUGACGGCCCUAUGGGUUGUAAACUGCUUUUAUGUGGGGAUAAAGUGAGCUACGUGUAGUUUAUUGCAGGUACCACAUGAAUAAGGACCGGCUAAUUCCGUGCCAGCAGCCGCGGUAAUACGGAAGGUCCAGGCGUUAUCCGGAUUUAUUGGGUUUAAAGGGAGCGUAGGCCGUGGAUUAAGCGUGUUGUGAAAUGUAGACGCUCAACGUCUGAAUUGCAGCGCGAACUGGUUCACUUGAGUAUGCACAACGUAGGCGGAAUUCGUCGUGUAGCGGUGAAAUGCUUAGAUAUGACGAAGAACUCCGAUUGCGAAGGCAGCUUACGGGAGCACAACUGACGCUGAAGCUCGAAGGUGCGGGUAUCAAACAGGAUUAGAUACCCUGGUAGUCCGCACAGUAAACGAUGGAUGCCCGUUGUUAGUUCACUUAUGAAUUAGCGACCAAGCGAAAGCAUUAAGCAUCCCACCUGGGGAGUACGCCGGCGACGGUG